RNAcentral lists this ribosomal RNA (484 nucleotides) under uncultured bacterium. RNAcentral's name for it is "partial 16S ribosomal RNA". It matches the Rfam family "Bacterial small subunit ribosomal RNA", at positions 30 to 507 of the family's 1533-position model. The record is from RNAcentral.
AUUGAACGCUGGCGGCAGGCCUAACACAUGCAAGUCGAGCGGAUGAAGGGAGCUUGCUCCUGGAUUCAGCGGCGGACGGGUGAGUAAUGCCUAGGAAUCUGCCUGGUAGUGGGGGAUAACGUCCGGAAACGGGCGCUAAUACCGCAUACGUCCUGAGGGAGAAAGUGGGGGAUCUUCGGACCUCACGCUAUCAGAUGAGCCUAGGUCGGAUUCGCUAGUUGGUGGGGUAAAGGCCUACCAAGGCGACGAUCCGUAACUGGUCUGAGAGGAGGAUCAGUCACACUGGAACUGAGACACGGUCCAGACUCCUACGGGAGGCAGCAGUGGGGAAUAUUGGACAAUGGGCGAAAGCCUGAUCCAGCCAUGCCGCGUGUGUGAAGAAGGUCUUCGGAUUUUAAAGCACUUUAAGUUGGGAGGAAGGGCAGUAAGUUAAUACCUUGCUGUUUUGACGUUACCAACAGAAUAAGCACCGGCUAACUUCGUG